This 83-nucleotide transfer RNA is filed under the name secondary endosymbiont of Ctenarytaina eucalypti. RNAcentral's name for it is "tRNA-Leu (TAA) (tRNA-Leu-TAA-1-1)". It matches the Rfam family "tRNA". Rfam says of the family: Transfer RNA (tRNA) molecules are approximately 80 nucleotides in length. The record is from Rfam by way of RNAcentral. Lineage: Bacteria; Pseudomonadati; Pseudomonadota; Gammaproteobacteria; Enterobacterales; Enterobacteriaceae.
GCCCGGGUGGUGAAAUCGGUAGACACAAGGGACUUAAAAUCCCUCGGCCCUUGGCCGUACGAGUUCAAGUCUCGUCCCGGGCA